Molecule: long non-coding RNA, 825 nt
Organism: Camarhynchus parvulus
Lineage: Eukaryota; Metazoa; Chordata; Aves; Passeriformes; Thraupidae
Exons: 3
Source: RefSeq, a predicted model, not a curated record
GGCAAGAGACUGACUGGCAGUACAUUAUAAACUUGGGAUCAUCAGCAUUAGCUCCUGAGCAGUCCCAUAACACUUCCACAUCAGACUUCAUCUGGUGUCUUUUGGAGAUCACCUGAGCACUCCUGCAGGAGUGUCAUGGUCAAGAGCAGAGCAGAGGCUGCCAGAAGGAGAAAAGCCCUGAACUGUUCCGCCCUUGCACUCGCCCAGGUUUAGGCAGAAACACCAGUGGUGCACAUUUACCAGGUUUUAUUCUUUGGGAUGAUCUGAACUGAGAGACAGCAAACCCCAGGGCAGAACUGAACUGGGACUUCCUGGCAAAUCUCAAGAGGGAAGUGAACAGGGCAUUGCAUGUUUUGUCUUCUAUGGCCAACGUGGCCUGGUUUGAAAUCCAUGAUCUCAUGCCAUGCUGGGCCAGGAAAAUGGCAUAUCCAGGGCAUGGGUUUCCAGCAUAAAAUACAAGUGAGGUGAUCUGAUGUGACUCUAUUCACCUGCCAACGGCCCUGGCAGAAAAAUAAACAGGUUCUGGGGAUGAGCUGCUGCUGGAGGCAAAGCAGGAACCAUUAGAAGAGCUGCCCUGACCUGUGAGGAACUGGUGUUUUUGCUUUGAACUUCAGCAAAUCUUAAUGAACUCUUCAUAACUGGCAAUCUGGGGUUUUCACUGAUGAUUUAUUUUCUGGAGGUGCCAAACACAGGAGACAAAUUCAACAUUGGAAAUACAAAUUUUGGGUCUCACAGUUGGUUGUCCAGGCUGGUGAAGCAGUUCCAACACCACUGCAGGUCACUCUCUGAGUUGUAUCAGGAGUCAGAUUUGUACAUGAAGGUCCA